RNAcentral lists this ribosomal RNA (369 nucleotides) under uncultured organism. RNAcentral describes it as "bacterial SSU rRNA". It matches the Rfam family "Bacterial small subunit ribosomal RNA", at positions 527 to 896 of the family's 1533-position model. The record is from RNAcentral.
GUAGGGUGCAGGCGUUAAUCGGAAUUACUGGGCGUAAAGCGUGCGCAGGCGGUCUAUUAAGACAGGUGUGAAAUCCCCGGGCUUAACCUGGGAACUGCGCUUGUAACUGAUAGGCUGGAGUGUGGCAGAGGGGGGUGGAAUUCCAGGCGUAGCAGUGAAAUGCGUAGAGAUCUGGAGGAACACCGAUGGCGAAGGCAGCCCCCUGGGCUAACACUGACGCUCAUGCACGAAAGCGUGGGGAGCAAACAGGAUUAGAUACCCUGGUAGUCCACGCCCUAAACUAUGUCAACUGGUUGUCGGGGAAGCAAUUCCUUGGUAACGAAGCUAACGCGUGAAGUUGACCGCCUGGGGAGUACGGCCGCAAGGUUA